UCGAAGUUUUCUUACGCGUACAACGUGCACACCUGAAAGAAAUCUCAGUUUGCUCAUUGUCGAUCUUAUACCAUUUGUUUGACCACUCAAGUGAUUAAUACAGUCUCUCAAAGCCUUGCUCAGAGUCCAAAUAUAUCAGCGACAGGAUACUACAGGUAACGCUACAGUUCCAAAAGAAGAUACCGACAAACAUAAUUAGUGCAUAUGCUCCAGAUGUUACCAAAACACAAAAAAAGAAAGAGGAAUUCCAUGAACCGAUGCAAGCGCACCUAGACAACAUACCUAGGCAUAACGUGACUGUAAUACUUGGUGACUUCAAUGCAAGGAUCGGUAAUAUGAUAGUCAAUGGGAUAAAAAACUGUUUUAAUGAGAAUACCACCAAUUGCAAUGGGGACAGGCUAACUAACUUCUGUGUCAUGAACGAACUACCCAUUUACAACACGUUCUACCCCCAUAAACUGCAACACAAAUUAACCUACAAAAA
This 484-nucleotide long non-coding RNA is filed under the name Polistes fuscatus (common paper wasp). RNAcentral describes it as "uncharacterized LOC122520368, transcript variant X2". The record is from RNAcentral. Lineage: Eukaryota; Metazoa; Arthropoda; Insecta; Hymenoptera; Vespidae.